This 335-nucleotide ribosomal RNA is filed under the name uncultured bacterium. Its description in RNAcentral is "bacterial SSU rRNA". It matches the Rfam family "Bacterial small subunit ribosomal RNA", at positions 29 to 356 of the family's 1533-position model. The record is from RNAcentral.
AUUGAACGCUGGCGGAAUGUCUUUACACAUGCAAGUCGAACGGCAGCGACGGGUGCUUGCACCUGGUGGCGAGUGGCGAACGGGUGAGUAAUGCGUCGGAACGUGCCGAGUAAGUGGGGGAUAACGCAGCGAAAGUUGUGCUAAUACCGCAUACCGCCCUGGAGGGGGAAAGGUGGGGGAUCGCAAGACCUCACGUUAUUCGAGCGGCCGACGUCUGAUUAGCUAGUUGGGUGGGGUAAAGGCCUACCAAGGCGACGAUCAGUAGCGGGUCUGAGAGGAUGAUCCGCCACACUGGGACUGAGACACGGCCCAGACUCCUACGGGAGGCAGCAGGU